Molecule: ribosomal RNA, 775 nt
Filed under: uncultured bacterium
Lineage: Bacteria
Description: bacterial SSU rRNA
Rfam family: Bacterial small subunit ribosomal RNA
Source: RNAcentral
GACGAACUCUGGCGGCGUGCCUAACACAUGCAAGUCGAACGGAGAUAUUUAGAAGCUUGCUUUUGGAUAUCUUAGUGGCGGACGGGCGAGUAACGCGUGAGCAACCUGUCCUUCAGAGGGGGACAACGGCUGGAAACGGCCGCUAAUACCGCAUGACAUAUCCGGAUGGCAUCGUCUGGAUAUCAAAGGAGAAAUCCGCUGAAGGGUGGGCUCGCGUCCGAUUAGCUAGUUGGUGAGGUAACGGCUCACCAAGGCGACGAUCGGUAGCCGAACUGAGAGGUUGAUCGGCCGCAUUGGGACUGAGACACGGCCCAGACUCCUACGGGAGGCAGCAGUGAGGGAUAUUGGGCAAUGGGGGAAACCCUGACCCAGCAACGCCGCGUGAGGGAAGACGGUCUUCGGAUUGUAAACCUAAGUAGUCAGGGACGAAGAAAUGACGGUACCUGAAGAGUAAGCUCCGGCUAACUACGUGCCAGCAGCCGCGGUAAUACGUAGGGAGCGAGCGUUGUCCGGAUUUACUGGGUGUAAAGGGUGCGUAGGCGGGCUGUCAAGUCAGAUGUGAAAUACCGGGGCUUAACUCCGGGGCUGCAUUUGAAACUGAUGGUCUUGAGUGAAGUAGAGGCAGGCGGAAUUCCUAGUGUAGCGGUGAAAUGCGUAGAUAUUAGGAGGAACACCAGUGGCGAAGGCGGCCUGCUGGGCUUUAACUGACGCUGAGGCACGAAAGCAUGGGGAGCAAACAGGAUUAGAUACCCUGGUAGUCCAUGCUGUAAACGAU